This 505-nucleotide ribosomal RNA is filed under the name uncultured bacterium. Its description in RNAcentral is "partial 16S ribosomal RNA". It matches the Rfam family "Bacterial small subunit ribosomal RNA", at positions 29 to 523 of the family's 1533-position model. The record is from RNAcentral.
AGUGAACGCUGGCGGUAGGCCUAACACAUGCAAGUCGAACGGCAGCACAGGAGAGCUUGCUCUCUGGGUGGCGAGUGGCGGACGGGUGAGGAAUACAUCGGAAUCUACUCUGUCGUGGGGGAUAACGUAGGGAAACUUACGCUAAUACCGCAUACGACCUACGGGUGAAAGCAGGGGAUCUUCGGACCUUGCGCGAUUGAAUGAGCCGAUGUCGGAUUAGCUAGUUGGCGGGGUAAAGGCCCACCAAGGCGACGAUCCGUAGCUGGUCUGAGAGGAUGAGCAGCCACACUGGAACUGGGACACGGUCCAUACUCCUACGGGAGGCAGCAGUGGGAAUAUUGGACAAUGGGCGCAAGCCUGAUCCAGCCAUACCGCGUGGGUGAAGAAGGCCUUCGGGUUGUAAAGCCCUUUUGUUGGGAAAGAAAUCCAGCUGGCUAAUACCCGGUUGGGAUGACGGUACCCAAAGAAUAAGCACCGGCUAACUUCGUGCCAGCCGCCGCGGUAA